GUGGGGAAUAUUGGGCAAUGGGGGAAACCCUGACCCAGCAACGCCGCGUGAGGGAAGAAGGUUUUCGGAUUGUAAACCUCUGUCCUUGGUGACGAAGGAAGUGACGGUAACCAAGGAGGAAGCCCCGGCUAACUACGUGCCAGCAGCCGCGGUAAUACGUAGGGGGCAAGCGUUGUCCGGAAUGACUGGGCGUAAAGGGCGUGUAGGCGGCCGAUUAAGUCUGGAGUGAAAAUCCUGCUUUCAAGGUGGGAAUUGCUUUGGAGACUGGUUGGCUUGAGUGCGGAAGAGGUAAGUGGAAUUCCCAGUGUAGCGGUGAAAUGCGUAGAGAUUGGGAGGAACACCAGUGGCGAAGGCGACUUACUGGACGAUGUCUGACGCUGAGGCGCGAAAGCUAGGGGAGCGAACGGGAUUAGAAACCCGUGUAGUCC
Molecule: ribosomal RNA, 428 nt
Filed under: uncultured bacterium
Lineage: Bacteria
Description: partial 16S ribosomal RNA
Rfam family: Bacterial small subunit ribosomal RNA
Source: RNAcentral